AUCCGACAGCAGAUCAGCCGGCAGAUGAGAUGAAAUAAGAUGAGCCGAGAUGAGAUGAGACAACGAGCACAGGUUCGGUUAUUAAUGAUGAGUUAUGGGUUCAGACCUCCUUCGGUGACGGGUCCGAUCACCAUCAUCAUGGCUGGCAACUGGAACAACUGAAACAACUAAAACAACCAAUGUUCUCGGAAGGUAGAACAAAUUCUUUUCUCCUCACCGAUCUCGUAAAUCUCGUCCUAUUCGUAACCCAGCAUUGACUGAACGAAUCGAGCUGAAUUUUCACAAAACUAUAGCAUUUCCAGUUUCUACCUACCGCAGCAGGGAAAUUGUGUAUGGAACCCCAGAAAGUUUAGCCCGCAUUUCAGAGUCGAUCAAGUUAUUAACUGGAAAUUUCGAUUCUUCUGUAGGGCGCUCUCUACUUUAUUUGAUAAAUAGGCGCACGCCUAGAACGAGCUAAUCGGAAACUUCCGGCACAUCGAAACUUAUAAAUAAAGUCCUCUUUACACGCAGAAAAACGUUUUCAACAAA
Drosophila gunungcola (fruit fly) is the source of this 528-nucleotide long non-coding RNA. RefSeq lists it as uncharacterized. Lineage: Eukaryota; Metazoa; Arthropoda; Insecta; Diptera; Drosophilidae. The record is from RefSeq and is a predicted model, not a curated record. The transcript has 3 exons.